GCGAAAUGCGAUAAGUGGUGUGAAUUGCAGAAUCCCGUGAACCAUCGAGUCUUUGAACGCAAGUUGCGCCCAAAGCCAUCAGGCUAAGGGCACGCCUGCCUGGGCGUUGUGUGCUCUGUCUCUCCUGCCAAGGCUUUCCUAGCAUAUAGUUAGGCUGGCAUUGUGC
RNAcentral lists this ribosomal RNA (166 nucleotides) under Cypripedium singchii. RNAcentral's name for it is "5.8S ribosomal RNA". The stretch from base 1 to 109 matches the Rfam family "5.8S ribosomal RNA", at positions 48 to 154 of the family's 154-position model. From Rfam's summary of the family: 5.8S ribosomal RNA (5.8S rRNA) is a component of the large subunit of the eukaryotic ribosome. It is transcribed by RNA polymerase I as part of the 45S precursor that also contains 18S and 28S rRNA. Functionally, it is thought that 5.8S rRNA may be involved in ribosome translocation. The record is from RNAcentral. Lineage: Eukaryota; Viridiplantae; Streptophyta; Magnoliopsida; Asparagales; Orchidaceae.